UAGGACAGGUUCUAGCUGGCCAGCUACAUCGUUGGCCUAGCAUGUAAAUGCCCAUGUCUUCUGCCUAUUGCAGCUUUUUUUACUUUGCACUGUACUAAUGACCCAUGCUGGGAACGGGUUAACAUCAAGGGGUUAACUGUGUGCCUAACAAGUGCAGCUUUACUAACAUUGGUGUAGUUUUUCUCUCUAAAAUCAGAGUUGAUUUCAGGGAGAAGAAACGGAUUGCUUUGUCAACACAGAAUUCUGUGCUGUGAUUGGCCAGUUGAUCAGCAGGUUUCAGCCAGAAUUGCUGGCUAAAAUCUGACAAAUUUUUGCUGUGUCCAAUGGCAGCAGGGGGUGCCCCCAAACCAGGAGGUACACUGCAAUGUAUGGGUACAUCGUGGUGCCUGACUGCUGCCUGCUCGCAGUAGAUCUACUGUAAAGGGGGUCGGCAAAAGGUUAAAGUAAACAUUUUGUGUUAAACACAACUGCCAUAGUGGACUCCUCCGAAUGCUGGUGGCUUUUGUUUACCUGCAUCCAUGAAUAUUUACUUUUUCUUGUUCACUUACCUUUUUGCUGCUCCUAGGAUAGGCUACACAGGCGAAACUUUCUGACAAGCCUAGCUAGUGCCACGUUGUCCUCUCUACCCUCUGUUCUUCUGCAGUGCCACCAUCUUGAAUCUCCUGUUAUUGGGAACCAGUUUGUUUGCACAGCCAGCUCCUUGAUGAUGCUUCCUUGAUCCCAUGCAUGCACAGAUGUUCUGAAUCUUUAUGGGUCUGGACACUUUGCAUCAUCCACAGCCCCCCGUGACUGGCAUGACUGGCAACUUUACAAAAUAUGUAAAUCUCAUAAACCUGCAUAAAAGAGAAAAUGGGAAACAUAUCAAAUGUUUAAACUAUGAAAAUUUAUGGUAAUUGAUAUUGAAGACGGCGGCACAUCUUAUAGCUGGGACAGGGCAAAAAAAGCUGGCAAAGUGCUACUAACAAGGAGGAGCUAAACAUUUUUGUACUUUGGCUUAAAGGAUAAGUCCAGCCUAACACUAAAGUCUUAAAUCUAUAGGCAUCCAUGAUCUAACACCAACCUAUCUAGCCCUGUAAAGAAGAAAUCGGUAUACAUACUUUUGUUUCUAUUUAUUUUUUAAGCUGCUCUGCUCUCCAGCGGCAGAAGCUCUACAGAGGCCACAGAGGACAACGGCUGUGAAAUGAAUGGGACAUGACAUCACCCAUAGACUUACUAUGGGGCUUCAGUGGUGGCUGCCUCCAGAGAAGCCACUGCCGACAGCUCAAUGUUGGAUUGGCUUCAGAAAAGGAUUCGGGACUCUGCAUGACUUGAAAGACACUUUGACCUCUGGAAAAAUCAGGAAACUGCUGCAUGGAUUACUUUUCUGUCUUUAAAGUGAAAUUGCCCUUUAACUCAAAGAUUCCUCUUGAAAAGGACUGGAAAGUAAGAAGACAGAAUCAUGUAAAAAGUGUUCAAUGGGUUGCAACCCUUUUGUCCUGUGGAAUGAUGUAUAAAGAAGAAACGUAAGCAGUGACUAGAAGAUGAUGAUCCUCUGAUUUAAUUGCUGGAGAAAACAUCUACGUAUUUACCUACCCUAGAUGUGAUGGAGUUUAAUACACUAAUUAUUGGACACCA
Molecule: long non-coding RNA, 1614 nt
Organism: Rana temporaria (common frog)
Lineage: Eukaryota; Metazoa; Chordata; Amphibia; Anura; Ranidae
Exons: 4
Source: RefSeq, a predicted model, not a curated record